Molecule: microRNA precursor, 84 nt
Filed under: Bombyx mori (domestic silkworm)
Lineage: Eukaryota; Metazoa; Arthropoda; Insecta; Lepidoptera; Bombycidae
Description: mir-2807 microRNA precursor family
Rfam family: mir-2807 microRNA precursor family
Source: Rfam by way of RNAcentral
UUAACUCAAAUUUGUAUGGAGUUGGAACAACGCCCCUAGCGGCAAACGUAAGCAAACGUUCCAACUCCAUACAAAUUUGAGUUA